UCUCCGUAGGUGAACCUGCGGAGGGAUCAUUACAGAGUUCAUGCCCUACCGGGUAGAUCUCCCACCCUAUGUUAUUAUUACUUUGUUGCUUUGGCGGGCCGUUAGGCUCCGCCCCGACUACCGGCCCCGGCUGGUAAGGGGCCGCCAGAGGACCCAAAACCCUGAAUAUUAGUGUCGUCUGAGUACUAUAUAAUAGUUAAAACUUUCAACAACGGAUCUCUUGGUUCUG
RNAcentral lists this unclassified non-coding RNA (229 nucleotides) under plant metagenome. RNAcentral's name for it is "partial contains small subunit ribosomal RNA, internal transcribed spacer 1, and 5.8S ribosomal RNA". The record is from RNAcentral.